CCUUCCUACGGGAGGCAGCAGUGGGGAAUAUUGCACAAUGGGGGAAACCCUGAUGCAGCGACGCCGCGUGAGUGAAGAAGUAUUUCGGUAUGUAAAGCUCUAUCAGCAGGGAAGAAAAUGACGGUACCUGACUAAGAAGCCCCGGCUAACUACGUGCCAGCAGCCGCGGUAAUACGUAGGGGGCAAGCGUUAUCCGGAUUUACUGGGUGUAAAGGGUGCGUAGGUGGCAGGGCAAGUCAGAUGUGAAAGCCCGGGGCUCAACCCCGGUACUGCAUUUGAAACUGUCCAGCUGGAGUGCGGGAGAG
This 305-nucleotide ribosomal RNA is filed under the name uncultured bacterium. RNAcentral's name for it is "bacterial SSU rRNA". It matches the Rfam family "Bacterial small subunit ribosomal RNA", at positions 334 to 656 of the family's 1533-position model. The record is from RNAcentral.